Molecule: unclassified non-coding RNA, 200 nt
Filed under: soil metagenome
Description: partial contains internal transcribed spacer 2 and large subunit ribosomal RNA
Source: RNAcentral
AGUGUUGCUGGUCGAAAGAUCCGCUCACUCGUAAUAUAUUAGCAUCUCCAAAUCGAAAUUCGGAUUGACUCAGUGUAAUAGACUAUUCGCUGAGGACACUCGCAAGAGUGGCCGAAUCUUGACAAUAGUAGAAGCUUCCAACUCUUGUAGUCAAUUUUAGAUUAGACCUCAGAUCAGGCAGGAUUACCCGCUGAACUUAA